RNAcentral lists this ribosomal RNA (253 nucleotides) under uncultured bacterium. Its description in RNAcentral is "partial 16S ribosomal RNA". It matches the Rfam family "Bacterial small subunit ribosomal RNA", at positions 524 to 776 of the family's 1533-position model. The record is from RNAcentral.
GACGUAGGGCGCGAGCGUUGUCCGGAUUUAUUGGGCGUAAAGAGCUCGUAGGCGGCUUGUUGCGUCGACUGUGAAAACCCGGGGCUCAACCCCGGGCCUGCAGUCGAUACGGGCGAGCUAGAGUUCGGCAGGGGAGACUGGAAUUCCUGGUGUAGCGGUGAAAUGCGCAGAUAUCAGGAGGAACACCGGUGGCGAAGGCGGGUCUCUGGGCCGAUACUGACGCUGAGGAGCGAAAGCGUGGGGAGCGAACAGG